ACGAAGAAGAAAACACGACCGAGCUCCACCGACACAAACUUCAGAUUAAACAACGAGACGCACAAAACACAUGAAACUUAUUAGAGUCAGGAAGGAGUGAACUGCAACCACACACACACACACACACACACAAACAAGCACACAUAAAUCAGAGCAGGUGGUUUCUACACUGAACCGGACUUUUUAAUUGAAUCCAUGUCGAGCAGAGCCGGCGGCAGCGCUCGGCUCAUCCCUUCUGCCCCGGAACAGCGUCCCGUCCUGCACAGUCUCCGGCUGAGUGGAAACAUUUCCUACAGUAUCUUCAGUUUCCUGCACUCACUUUUUAGAUUUCCUCCAAAAAAAAACAAAAAAACAGUAAUACAAGCAUACCUCUCGAACUUCCUGCGGUAAAAUAUUGAUCCCUCUCGGCGACUGCUUCGUCAUUAAAAGUAACCAUGAGAACAAACAGACAGAGAGAGAAACAGAAAAACAGAGCCGGGUGCGGUAAAAGCAAAGCGCGCCUGACGCAAAGCCCGUCGCUCAGACGUUUCCUGGCAGGCAGCUGGCCUGAUGAGCGAGCUGAUGAGGCCCGGGUGCUGACACUGAUCACAUCCUGGCCACAGGCGAACACUUCCUGUCACAGGCUGGAUGUGCUGAGAGGUGGACAGCCAUCUGGCCAGGCCUGCAGGCACCCACGGGCUCGCUGGACCAAAUUAUCCUCGCUCGCUUACUCUUACAAGUUCCCAGAACACGAGGUCGUCAUCGUCUAAUCGCUUCAUUUGUCCUGCCAGCAAUCCAAAUGUUCUUAAUCCUUUGUUGCUGAUUGGUGUAAUAUGCAUUGAAAAUUGAGAACCUUAAUUCAUGACUUCUUCUUCUCAUAACUUCCAGUCGCCCGACAGAAUAAACAGACUUGGACUCCA
Acanthopagrus latus (yellowfin seabream) is the source of this 899-nucleotide long non-coding RNA. RefSeq lists it as uncharacterized. NCBI's taxonomy places the organism in Eukaryota, Metazoa, Chordata, Actinopteri, Spariformes, Sparidae. The transcript has 2 exons. The record is from RefSeq and is a predicted model, not a curated record.